RNA transcript from Bolinopsis microptera, 3323 nucleotides. RefSeq lists it as uncharacterized. The transcript is spliced from 10 exons. Lineage: Eukaryota; Metazoa; Ctenophora; Tentaculata; Lobata; Bolinopsidae. The record is from RefSeq and is a predicted model, not a curated record.
ACUUUUUAAUAUUUUUUGUUUUUGGGUAUGAAGAUCGUCGUCGUUCAUUAAUAUUAUUCUGCUUAUAAUUUAGGUGCACACAAAAUCACAAUUUAUUCAGUGAACAAACAUAUUAUCCUUAUCUACAUAUCAGGACAGCGGUUGAAAGAUUUCAAGUUCAUGUAAAGUGUUGAAGCUCCAAAAAUCCCAUAUCCAGAAGAUCGGCUCUUUAUGGCAUUUUGCUUGCCCAUCACCGGUAUAAAUAUGGACAAUCAUACCCUAAAUAUACUGUCGGAGCCUAACGUCAAGCUAGAACUGUCCUCCCCAUCCAUCAACAUCAACCAGGAUCUACUUAAACCUGCCGCACCUCGAGAUAACAUGUUCUCUCUUAGUUUUCAGAACAUUGCAGAAAAGCACUCGCCCCUGCUCAACUUAUCUCAACCAGCCAAUCUUCUGAAUUUCAACAGUGACGAUAAGAACAGGAAUAUUAUGAUAAGUCAGAGCAGCUCAGAGCAGAAUCCUACUUUAUCAACUCUUCUGAAUCUGUCCCACUUCGCCAGUCCUACCUCACUGAGCCCCACUGUUACCUCGUCUCUACUGCAAGCUUCAAACUUAUCACUCCUAUCAAAACUGCCCUUCUUGAACCAGACAAAACAAUUAGAUCAUCCUAAGACCUCGCAAUCCCCCUCAACAGUGCCUACAACAUGCCUCCCAUUGCCGAUACCCUCCAACCUUCCACUCUUUGGAGCUAUCAACUCCCAGAUUCUCAGCUACCCAACCUCUCCUCAGUCAAUACCUGAUCUCCUGGCCAGUCUAGCAGCAGCAAAGUCUUGUGAGGGUUCCGUCGCAAAUAUGGAAUCAUCUGGGUUGGCUGCAGAAACACUGGCGAAGUUUACUAGCAACGGACUGGUCAGUCCUAACUUGUCGAGUUUGCAGAUCCCUGAUCUGGCUUCCAAUAUAAAGCUGGAUUCUCAAAAAGACAUCCCAUUCCCAGCAAAUGGAAAUGAUGACUACAAGCACAAAACUGACACAGUUUCUAAUGUCGCUAACAUCAUGUCGAACAGUCUGAACGGCCAACUGGAGAUCAACAAGCAGCUCAUGACUUGUCUAACUGUAGCGCUAGAAGAGAUCAAAGAACUCAGGAGACAACUUUCAGAUAGAGGGGGAACAAACCAAACAGAUGUUAAAACCCCACUACACGCAAGAACAGGGAAUGAAGUGUUCAGUCCGUCUCAAGAUAGGAACUCAACAGAUUGGGAUUCUAACGAUAACAUCUCCACCCCGGGCUCGGCGUCCCCAAGUCCAUUCACCACGGAAUCUCAACAAACUUCAAACCAAAUGAUCGACAUCAAGAGUCUUCUGAAGCUAGGAGAGAGCAAGGAAUGGGCGAUACCGGUGAUAAAGCCUUUAGAUCACAUGCCCUUGGGAGCCAAGAGAACACGUGCUGGGGAUGCUAAGCUGAAGAGCAACGUUCCAGCUGCUUGUAGGUCGAUAGUGAAGAACGUGUACAGAGAACUUGUCAGAAGGGAAGCGAUCAACGCUUUCGACCUGCACCAAGGGCAAGAGAGUGCUCACAAUGUAAAAAUAUAUUGGCAAGUGAUCGAGUACAUGAAGAAAACUACCAGUAACUGCUCCUGGGAGGAGGCUGACAUGUUGUACGCGAUCAGAACAUAUUGGCGAAGUCUACGCGACGACAGACAGCGGGAAUUGAGUGGUAAGAAGUACAACCACCGUAGGAUGAUCAUCAGAAGAGAGAUCAUGAAACGGAAAUUGAAGUCCAGGCAGAAAGCGAUCAAUUUAGUGAGUUGGGGUACCGAGAUGAAGCAGUUGUUUGCAGAGACACUCACUCUGGAUUACAUGAGCAGUGAGGAAGAGGACAACACAGUAGAAUCACGAGAAGGUCCCCGACCGCGGGUGGUAAGGAGACUCCCCUGGUCCAGUCCCACCCUCAAACAGUGCAAAGCAGAUCUAGACUCUGAGUUCAAGAAGAUCUGCAGUGCAAGACAGCUGAAGGCAACAGCUCAUGUGUAUCGUAGAGACCAGGUGAUUAGUGUCAGGCCUCAACCUGUUACCUGUCCUCAGUGGGCCGCUGACCCUAACUGGGUUCCUGAAAACCUGAACGACUCAACAGAGGAAAAGAAAGAGAAAGUAAGCAGACCCUCGAUGUUAACAUACGAUCCCUCAUCCCCAACAGCCACUACCUCUCAUUUACUUGGACUCAGUGAUGAGAUCUUGAAAACAUUUAGGGAUCCUAAUCUUCUCAACAAUACGGAUUCAACUCAAGGGAACGAACCUAAGAAAGAUGAGGUAAUCGUGGACUCAACCCAGAAAAACAGUUCCUUGUACAACAUCUACCCUUUAACAGGGGGCCUCUCUCAGACUACCGUCUCCACAGCAGACCCCUCAAUACCCGUCUCAGCAACUCCCUCAACAGAAGUUAUCAACUCUACAACAGUCACUCUCUCUGUACUACCCGUCAGUGGGAAGGACGAGUCAAGUGAUACCAUGGUGACGAGCGAGCAGCAGAUCACAUCUCAGUUACCUGAUCCCGCCCCACAGACCAGGGCAAGUUACGAUAAGGACCUUCUGUCUUCGCUGUCUGAAGGGGACAAGGCACUGUUUGAGAGUGUUGUUGAAACACUGGCGGAAUCUGAUCCCAGGGUCAGGGAUCUCAACCCAAUAGAUGUGAUUAUGUCUCUCAACAUGACAUCUGAUUCCCUGGGAGGGUUACUAGGUGGGUCUCAACAUAACAUCUGAUACCCUGGGAGCCGGGAGGGUUACUAGGUUGGUCUCAACGUGACAUCUGAUACCCUGGGACGGUUGCUAGGUGGGUCUCGAUAUGACAUCUGAUACCCUGGGAGGGUUGCUAGGUGGGUCUCAACAUGACAUUUGAUUGUGAUGUAGCAUGAUACUGAUAGAGGAAAGGUACAGAUUGCAUAAGAUGAUACAUUUUGGGAUUUAUUGUUCUGUAUAUUGAGCUUGUAAAUUAAUUUUACUUUUAAAGUUUCAACAGCAUUAGCCAUAAUAUUUGUGAUUUGGCUAUGAUGCUGUAACUAUUAUUUGUUUGUUUUUAAUUACACGAGAUGUUGUGUUGACUUAAAUUUAAUAUUUAUUAACCAAUUGAAUUUUGUUAAUCUUUUACGGUCACGAAUUUUCAAGAUUUGAGAUAGCUGAUAUUUGAUAAGUGACGAUAGAUUUGUGGAUACAAAAUUUUUCAUUUGACUUAUAGAUCAAAGUGGUCGUUUCCUUUUAUUUGCGAAAGUAGAAUGAAAAUAAGUUAAGUAAGUUGAAUGGUAGGAACCGACAAAAAUAAAAUAUUUUUAAAAUCAAAAAUUCAUGCUCUG